GAUGAACGCUGGCGGCGUGCCUAAUACAUGCAAGUAGAACGCUGAAGCUUGGUGCUUGCACCGAGCGGAUGAGUUGCGAACGGGUGAGUAACGCGUAGGUAACCUGCCUCUUAGCGGGGGAUAACUAUUGGAAACGAUAGCUAAUACCGCAUAAAAGUCGACAUCGCAUGAUGUUGACUUGAAAGGUGCAAUUGCAUCACUAAGAGAUGGACCUGCGUUGUAUUAGCUAGUUGGUGAGGUAACGGCUCACCAAGGCGACGAUACAUAGCCGACCUGAGAGGGUGAUCGGCCACACUGGGAGUGAGACACGGCCCAGACUCCUACGGGAGGCAGCAGUAGGGAAUCGUCAGCAAUGGGGGCAACACUGACCGAGCAACGCCGCGUGAGUGAAGAAGGUUUUCGGAUCGUAAAGCACUGUUGUAAGAGAAGAACGAGUGUGAGAGUGGAAAGUUCACACUGUGACGGUAACUGACCAGAAAGGGACGGCUAACUACGUG
This 497-nucleotide ribosomal RNA is filed under the name uncultured bacterium. Its description in RNAcentral is "partial 16S ribosomal RNA". It matches the Rfam family "Bacterial small subunit ribosomal RNA", at positions 28 to 507 of the family's 1533-position model. The record is from RNAcentral.